This 360-nucleotide ribosomal RNA is filed under the name Sternotherus minor minor. Its description in RNAcentral is "partial 12S ribosomal RNA". It matches the Rfam family "Bacterial small subunit ribosomal RNA", at positions 875 to 1361 of the family's 1533-position model. The record is from RNAcentral. Lineage: Eukaryota; Metazoa; Chordata; Testudines; Kinosternidae.
CUUAGAUAUUUUAAAUACAAAAAAUAUUCGCCAGAGAAUUACGAGCUAAACAUGCUUAAAACUCUAAGGACUUGGCGGUACCUCAAACCCACCUAGAGGAGCCUGUUCUAUAAUCGACAAUCCACGAUUCACCUCACCAUCUCUUGCCAACUCCGCCUAUAUACCGCCGUUAUAGCUUACCUUAUGAAAGAUAAAAAGUAAGCAAAAUAAUCUAAACAAUUAAUAAAUCAGGUCAAGGUGUAGCUUACUGAGAUGGAAGAAAUGGGCUACAUUUUCUAUACUAGAAAUAACUACGGAAAGAUACCUUGAAAUAGGUUCUACAAGCAGGAUUUAGCAGUAAACUGGGAAAAGAGAGCCCAA